Molecule: long non-coding RNA, 390 nt
Organism: Musca domestica (house fly)
Lineage: Eukaryota; Metazoa; Arthropoda; Insecta; Diptera; Muscidae
Exons: 2
Source: RefSeq, a predicted model, not a curated record
UAUCACUAAAUUGAAUUAUUUAGAAGAAAAUAAAUCUAUAAAAUUGUUCCGCAGAAACGUCCAGUGGCCUUGAUUCCGUUUAUCCUGUGCGUUAUUGGUACGAUAGGUUUCACCCUUCUGUACAAUGGAUUCAAUUUCAUGUGGAUGCAGUACGGCCACUUUCCAUUUGUGAUGAGCAUUAUGUUGGUUAUUGGAAUGGAAGUGCUUGCUUUAUACACCAUAUGUUCAUUGUUUCAUCAAAUGUGGAUUGAAAAGAAGAAACAGACAGUGAGAAAACAAAAUCCUAAUUACUAUGACAAAGUGCGAAUACUUAUUCUCGAAACGUUUGGAUUUAUAUAUCAAUCAAAUAUGAAAUUUGAUAACGAAUAAAAACUAAACAAUUAAAAUUAA